GCAAUGCCACAAUGCCUUUUUUUCCCCUUAAAGUAGAAGGAAACAUAUUUACAAAAGGCGAACUGAUAACUACAAAAUUCAGCAUGAAAGUAGACAAUCCAUCAAUCCAUUUAUCAAAUGACUAGGUGUGAUUCUCAUUUUAAAGCAGUUGAAGCAGUAAUAAAUUUUGCACUAAGGAUACUAAUCCAUCUCUAUAGAACUUUAAUAAAUAAACAGCAAAUGAUCAGAUAGUCUUUGCACAGUAUUUGAAUUUGUAUUUUGUCUCAUUCUGCUGAAAACAUAAAUAACUUUAUUUUUUAUUAUAGAAGUAACUGCCAUGCCAAAGUAUGAAUUUGUCAACUCAUUUGUUAUUCCUUGAAAGAAACAAAGACUGUCACACCAAUGAAGGAACUGAGUGACAUACUGAAGACAAACUAUAUAUAAUGAGGAAAAGAAGCUUCAGAACUAUAUAAAAUCACUGACUCUCAAAUCCCAAUGGAAUUUAUAUCUAUGAAGUAUAAACUUCAUAAUUGUUUUGCAGAAGGAGGAAAGGAUUUCCAGUAACCACAAUGUAAUGUUUAUCUUUUGAACAAAUAGACUUUCUAUGUGUGAACCCAUUCACCAGCUUCUCAACAUAUGAAAUGAGCCAUCUUUCUGCUUUUGUAUUGAGACAACUCUCCCCAGGCAACUCAUGUGUGUGCUGCUGCUCCAUGACCUAUAUAGUCAGCAUCAUGACUAUGGCAAGCUGCUUUUGGCUGACCUCCUCCUUCUCAGUGUCUAUAGACCUGUCUUUCUGUCUUCCUAAGCUGCAAUCUGGUGGAAAAUGACUCACUGAGUUCACCAGAGGUAUGCCAUUGGCUUCACCAUACUUCCAGAGGGAUCCAUGACACAAAUAAAUGGCAAAGGACCCAGAUGGAGGUUGUUGUC
RNAcentral lists this long non-coding RNA (906 nucleotides) under Monodelphis domestica (gray short-tailed opossum). RNAcentral describes it as "lncRNA (ENSMODG00000036218.2)". The record is from RNAcentral. Lineage: Eukaryota; Metazoa; Chordata; Mammalia; Didelphimorphia; Didelphidae.